Molecule: non-coding RNA, 29 nt
Filed under: Rattus norvegicus (Norway rat)
Lineage: Eukaryota; Metazoa; Chordata; Mammalia; Rodentia; Muridae
Source: RNAcentral
GGGGAAAAAAAAUCAAGGGACUCUGAUCA